GUACACGCUGUGACUAGCAUAUCAAUAAGCGGAGGAAAAGAAACUAACAAGGAUUCCCUUAGUAACGGCGAGUGAAGCGGGAAGAGCUCAAAUUUGAAAUCUUCAAGGUUUUACCUUGACGAAUUGUAGUUUAAAGAAGUGUUUUCUGCUGAAGUUUUGGUAAAAGUUCUUUGGAAUAGGACAUCAUAGAGGGUGAGAAUCCCGUAUUUGACCAUUAUUUUCAGCUUUGUGAUACACUUUCAAAGAGUCGGAUUGUUUGGGAAUGCAGUCCAAAAUGGGUGGUAAAUUUCUAUCUAAGGCUAAAUAUUGGCGAGAGACCGAUAGCGAACAAGUACCGUGAGGGAAAGAUGAAAAGAACUUUGAAAAGAGAGUUAAAUAGUACGUGAAAUUGUCAAAAGGGAAGCGUUUAACACCAGUGUUGUUGUCUGAAAAUCAACCUCUGUUAGCUUUAUGCAUGUUUGUUUAGACCUAAUCAGCUAUCUUGCAUGUUCUAUUGUUUACAGUGGUGCACUUUUCAGUUUACAGGUCAACAUCAGUUUUUUUUACCGUAAAAAAGUUAAAGAAAGGUAGCUCAUGGCUCCGGUCGUGAGUGUUAUAGUCUUUUUCCUAUGCGGUAGGAGAGACUGAGGUCUGCAGUGUAGGCUAUUUGGCUAGAUACUCAGGUGCUAUGUGAUACCAUUUCAUAAACAACUUGUUGAUUAUGUUUUGUCUAUUGCAUACUCGCUUGUACUAUCAUACCUACGCUUAGGAUGUUGAGUAGCGACAUACGCAC
RNAcentral lists this ribosomal RNA (772 nucleotides) under uncultured Neocallimastigales. RNAcentral's name for it is "partial large subunit ribosomal RNA". The stretch from base 4 to 662 matches the Rfam family "Eukaryotic large subunit ribosomal RNA", at positions 24 to 664 of the family's 3401-position model. Lineage: Eukaryota; Fungi; Neocallimastigomycota; Neocallimastigomycetes; Neocallimastigales. The record is from RNAcentral.